This 1394-nucleotide ribosomal RNA is filed under the name uncultured bacterium. RNAcentral's name for it is "partial 16S ribosomal RNA". It matches the Rfam family "Bacterial small subunit ribosomal RNA". The record is from RNAcentral.
UUAGAGUUUGAUCCUGGCUCAGGAUGAACGCUAGCGGCAGGCUUAACACAUGCAAGUCGAGGGGCAGCGGGUGUAGCAAUACAUGCCGGCGACCGGCGCAAGGGUGCGUAACGCGUGAGCAAUCUGCCCGUAUCAGGGGGAUAAGCGAUGGAAACGUCGUCUAAUACCGCAUAACACCAAUGAUGGCAUCAUCGAUGGUUGAAAGCUUCGGUGGAUACGGAUGAGCUCGCGAGACAUUAGUUAGUUGGCGGGGUAACGGCCCACCAAGACCGCGAUGUCUAGGGGAACUGAGAGGUUGGUCCCCCACACUGGAACUGAGACACGGUCCAGACUCCUACGGGAGGCAGCAGUGAGGAAUAUUGGACAAUGGCCGGAAGGCUGAUCCAGCCAUGCCGCGUGAAGGAAUAAGGUCCUAUGGAUUGUAAACUUCUUUUGUACGAGAGCAAUAAGUGUCACGAGUGACACGAUGAGAGUAUCGUACGAAUAAGCAUCGGCUAACUCCGUGCCAGCAGCCGCGGUAAUACGGAGGAUGCGAGCGUUAUCCGGAUUUAUUGGGUUUAAAGGGUGCGUAGGCGGGAUUUUAAGUCAGCGGUGAAACGCAAGGGCUCAACCCUUGACCUGCCGUUGAAACUGGAGUUCUUGAAUGCGGAUGCUGUGGGAGGAAUGUGUGGUGUAGCGGUGAAAUGCAUAGAUAUCACACAGAACACCGAUUGCGAAGGCAUCUCACAAAUCCGUGAUUGACGCUGAGGCACGAAAGUGUGGGUAUCGAACAGGAUUAGAUACCCUGGUAGUCCGCACGGUAAACGAUGGAUGCUCGCUGUCGGCGAUACAUUGUCGGCGGCCUAGUGAAAGCAUUAAGCAUCCCACCUGGGGAGUACGCCGGCAACGGUGAAACUCAAAGGAAUUGACGGGGGCCCGCACAAGCGGAGGAACAUGUGGUUUAAUUCGAUGAUACGCGAGGAACCUUACCCGGGCUUGAAUUGCAGGUUUUGGACCAGAGAUGGUCUUUUCCCUUCGGGGUGCCUGUGAAGGUGCUGCAUGGUUGUCGUCAGCUCGUGCCGUGAGGUGUCGGCUUAAGUGCCAUAACGAGCGCAACCCCUUUCAUUAGUUGCCAUCACUUCGGGUGGGCACUCUGGUGAUACUGCCACCGUAAGGUGUGAGGAAGGUGGGGAUGACGUCAAAUCAGCACGGCCCUUACGUCCGGGGCUACACACGUGUUACAAUGGGUGAUACAGAUGGCCGGUUCACGGCAACGUGGAUCAAAUCUUGAAAGUCAUCCUCAGUUCGGAUAGGGGUCUGCAACCCGACCCCACGAAGCUGGAUUCGCUAGUAAUCGCGCAUCAGCCAUGGCGCGGUGAAUACAAUGCCGGGCCUUGCACUCACCGCCCGUCAAG